GAACCUACAAGAACAACAAUGACCUUCAGCAGCAUAUUGAUCUGGACACUGGCAGCAUUAUGUGGAGAAUGUAUUGGUCAGGUGACAGUGACUCAAACUCCCUCAGUGCUGCUCUCUGAACCUGGACGAUCACUCACUGUCAACUGCAGAUUCAGCAGUGAUCCAGUGUGUUGUUGCAGUAGUAAACAGUGUGUUAGCUGGUACUUACAGAAACCAGGAGAAGCUCCAAAACUCCUGAUCUAUGGAACAAGCAGCCGUCAAUCAGGAACUGCAUCUAGAUUCAGUGGCAGUGGAUCUAAUGUUGAUUUCACUCUGAGCAUCAGUGGAGUCCAGACUGAAGAUGCUGGACAUUAUUACUGUCAGAGUUACCACAGUGGUGGUGUGUUGACACAGUGAUAAAGAGUGGUACAAAAACCUCCAUCAGUCAGUCAGAGUCACAGAGACUGAACUGAUCCUGGAGCAGCUCACAGGAGGAUGUGAAACUACAGUCACUCAAGCAUCAGAAAUAAAAUCAUCCAGAUGAAUCUGUCGCUCUUCAUCAUCAUAGAGAGCAAAAGUCAAAGCAUUAGUGGACACAAA
This is a non-coding RNA of Danio aesculapii, 579 nucleotides long. The record is from the annotation of a RefSeq genome assembly. NCBI's taxonomy places the organism in Eukaryota, Metazoa, Chordata, Actinopteri, Cypriniformes, Danionidae.